GCUCAACCGAAGAAGUGCAUCGGAAACUGGGAAACUUGAGUGCAGAAGAGGACAGUGGAACUCCAUGUGUAGCGGUGAAAUGCGUAGAUAUAUGGAAGAACACCAGUGGCGAAGGCGGCUGUCUGGUCUGUAACUGACGCUGAGGCUCGAAAGUAUGGGUAGCAAACAGGAUUAGAUACCCUGGUAGUCCAUACCGUAAACGAUGAAUGCUAAGUGUUGGAGGGUUUCCGCCCUUCAGUGCUGCAGCUAACGCAUUAAGCAUUCCGCCUGGGGAGUACGGCCGCAAGGCUGAAACUCAAAGGAAUUGACGGGGGCCCGCACAAGCGGUGGAGCAUGUGGUUUAAUUCGAAGCUACGCGAAGAACCUUACCAGGUCUUGACAUACUAUGCAAAUCUAAGAGAUUAGACGUUCCCUUCGGGGACAUGGAUACAGGUGGUGCAUGGUUGUCGUCAGCUCGUGUCGUGAGAUGUUGGGUUAAGUCCCGCAACGAGCGCAACCCUUAUUAUCAGUUGCCAGCAUUAAGUUGGGCACUCUGGUGAGACUGCCGGUGACAAACCGGAGGAAGGUGGGGAUGACGUCAAAUCAUCAUGCCCCUUAUGACCUGCGCUACACACGUGCUACAAUGGAUGGUACAACG
RNAcentral lists this ribosomal RNA (637 nucleotides) under uncultured bacterium. Its description in RNAcentral is "bacterial SSU rRNA". It matches the Rfam family "Bacterial small subunit ribosomal RNA", at positions 607 to 1244 of the family's 1533-position model. The record is from RNAcentral.